ACCUUUGACUCCAUUUCAGUUCUCCUGCUUUCCAACCUGAAUUUUCAAUGUUGCGUUCUGCUGCUUCAGAGUUUUUACUCCUCAGCAGUGAAAUCAAUCGAUUUCUUCAGGUUAACGAUACUGAUAGUGUUCUUUUUUACCAAAUCCAUGAUGUCAUCUGCGCUCUCUUUGAUUUUUGCAGUGAGGAUGCGGACGAUGUUGUCCUGUAGGCUGGCUCAUUUACGGUUCACUUCUCAGCUUCUUUGGAAGUUGCUCCUUGGUUGGGGUAUUCGGGUAUGAAUCAAAUUCACCCCCCCCCCUUUUUUUACACUGCAAGCAUAUGUGUGAGUUUCAACAAUGCCUCUUUUCUCCUUGGAAGUUUCAACCAACCAUUAUCUCAGCAACAGUUUGGUCAUGUCCUGAUUCCAUGCUACUAGCUAUGAAGACGUUAGCAGGCUAACUUCACUACACACGCGGAAACUUUUCGAUAGCUAGCUUGUUCGUUGGAAAUCAGCAAAAAUAUAUUUCAAUGGUUUGAUUAAUUACAAAAUAGCUACAUUGUACGGUUAGAUAUCAUUUUUUUGGGUGAAAAAAAACAAAUUGCAACUGCAGUCUAAAACUAUAAACUUUGUGAGAAAACCCUAAAAUUCUUCCUCCCCGGUUAUUUUCUAGUUACAGAAUCAGCGCGCGCUCUGGAAAGACAGCAGUAGGGUGCAAAGACAGUUUGCCAGUUACAGCAGCGCGUCCCCUGAACGAUAACGAAAAGGUAAUGUUAGGUGAGAAGCCUGACCACGGAGACGGGGGUGAGAAGGUAAUUCAAACAAAAAUAAGUACAGUGCCAUCCUAGAGUCUUCUUGAAGAGUUGGGUUUAGAGCUACAAGACCAGGGCCAGUGUUUAUCAAAUGUAUGAAUGCUAAUCUAGGAUCAGGUCCUCUGUCCAUAAUAAUCUGAUUUAUUAUGAUCUAAAAGGCAAAACAGAUCCUAGAUCAGACUCCUAUUCUGAGAUGCUUGAUAACACAGUCCCAGAAAGUUAUUUUCCUCAAACUGUAGUUUUAGGCUCUUCUAAUCACAUCUAGUGGAUAAAUAGAGUACUAACCUAUUGCCCUGGUCUACUUAUUACACUACAUUUAUAUGGACAGCAAUACAUGCAUAACUACUCAGACUGUGUUUAUAGUACAGUAUAGUAUUAAAGAGAGAGACUGGUGUAGAGUGAUACUAUCUCUGCUUUGGAGGCUUUAGACCUGUUUCUCUCCUUCCUUCAGACCUCUGUCUCUUCAGGACCACUCUAGCCCAAGGCCCCAGAGGCCAGUCUCAGCUGCCAGAAGCCAGACUCUUCACAGGGCCAGCUCAGCCACCAGAGGAUAACGGGGCCCUGGUCAACAUGGAACUUCUUGGGUUGCCUAACAUUGGCAACACAUGCUUCCUAAACGCCACCCUGCAGUGUCUCCUGGUCCUGCCUUCCUUCUCAAAGGAAAUCCUACGCCAGGAACAACUCUGGAGCUCCUCCCCCUUCUCCAACCUGCUCAGACCUCAUGUGGAAGGUCAAGUACUCCUUGUCGGGAUAUGAUUUGAAGUAUCUGGGGGACACGCAACAGGUAACUGAGAGCACUACUCUCUUCUGAACAAGCACUCUUUUUGCAAAGGUUCAUUUUAUCUCAAUAAUUGGAUUUUAUCUUGGUAUUUUUCUUUUUCAUCAUAGGACGCACACGAGUUACUUGUGAAUAUGCUGUGCCAGCUGAAGGAGGAGGGCAUGAUACUGAAGACGCUCGGGGUGAACUAUACCUGCCCUGUUUCCCAGGUAAGAGCUCCCGUUGGUUGUAAUGUAUCUACUGGUAACAUGAUCUUUCUACAAAUAAUAUUACAAAACACAUGGCAUAACAUUGUAGAGACCUGAAACAGAAACCUGAUGCAUUUUUCUUCUUUGUCCUGCUUUUGAAGCUGUGGGCGUGAGUCGUCCACUAGAGAGGACUACGAUCACCUCUCAUUGGACUUCAGCUCUGAGCGCACCUUGCUAAGCAGCCUAGCACUCACUUUCAAAGUCAGCACGUAGGGCUCAGCCCUGGGUGUAGAGACUAAUACCCAGGGAAAGCUGCCCACUGCCUUAGAAUACGGUAUCUUAUUAUUGAAGUGGUAUCACUCAUUUUGUAAUGCUUUUGUUUCUAACCCAGGGCGAAAAGGUUGAAUUCACAUGUGAUGGCUGCAAAGGCUUCUACCUACGCCUCAAAGGUGGAGCAGUUCCACACACUGCCUCUUGUGUUGGUUCUGCAUCAGAAGAGGUUUGGAGGACCUGGGGGGUUGGAGAAGCUGGAGGCUCCUCUUUUGUUUCCUUAGGAGCUGAGGCUCUCCACCCUCUGUGGGGACAUGGUGCCACCCCUGCACAGUGUCAGCCCACAGGCCCUGACCAACCAGGCCCCCAAUAUCCAGGUGUCCAUCCCCCAGACCCUCGCCAGCCAAGUCUCCAGCCCACCUGGAGAGGCCAAAGAUAGCGCCCUCUGCUGUUCAGAUUCAAAUGACCAGGAACCAGGGAAAGUGCUGUGGACAGCCUCAGUGAAGCAGCAGCCAGUGAAGUCAGUGAAUGGCUACUACCAGCUGACUGGCGUAGUCUCUCAUUUGGGAGGCUCCAAACUCCGGGCACUACAUUAGUGACAUCUUGAAUGCCAGUGGAAACUGGUUCUGCUGUAACGACAGCCAGGUGUCAAUGUCCAAUGAAGCCACUGUGCUGAGGACCAGAGCCCGGAGUGUUUACCUCCUCUUCUAUAUCUUCAGGGCAGGAGAGCAGGAGGCCCCAGCACACAGGGCCACCAGCCCCAGCCUCGACAAGGGCAGCAGCUGGACCAGCCUCCACACCCCAAGCCCAGCCUCAAAACCCUCAGCCCAGCCUCAAUAGGGGUAGUACCAGGCCCAGACUAAACACCCCCAGCCCAGCCUCAACAGGGGCAGCACUGGCCCAGCCUCAACACCUCCAUGUUUGCCCCUCUUCAUGUUUUUCCUUGACAACAUUCCCACUGCUGUGUAAAAAAAAAUAAUACUUAAGGAAUCAGACUUCCAACCCCUACUACAAAAAAUGAUGACUGGUCUGUCAAUCAUGCGGCUCAAGGGAAACUUAAUCUUCAACACUAGCAUGAGCAUCCUUUUCAGUAGCGUAUGUCAUAAAUAUCUGCCCUUGUUUUGACUACUUCACCUAAUGUAUAAAGCGCAUGUAAAUAAAGGAAUAAAGUAUACACACUAAAUGUAGAACGUAAAUGUGGUGGAUAGAGUGUCUGAUUAUUUAGAGGGUAUAACAUCCCUUCUAUUUGGUUAGGUUUGAAAUCCUCCUGUUGUGAAAUACACUGUGGUGUAUAACCUUACUCAGCAUGGUCACACCGGAUGCACUGCAAUAUUCAACAUUGAAUCAGGUCCCCAGGAUAUCGGGAGAUGACUUGUGCAUGCCAUGCAAUUUCAAUAAAGAAAAACAAAUUUAAGAUAAUUCUGUUAACUCUUUCAGCUCAGAAAGAUUUAUCGUCUGGGAUUCAGGCUGGUCCUAAUAGGAAACGCGACAAAGGGAAGCAGCUGGGCAGCUGAUGUUAUGGAGCCUUCUAGCCCUCAAUCAGGUCUGGAGGAGGAAUGCCACAUAAAGAUUCAGAGAUGCUAUGAGUAUAUUUUUAAAUUACUCUCCAGUUGUAUUUACCAUUUGAAUAAAUACAGACAUGAAAAUGCUGGGCUACGGAUGUAACCUUGGUUCUCUGAGUAGAGUAACAGGUCGCCAAACGACCUAUGAGAACUUCUUCCCUUUCACGUGAUAUCAUUGAGAUGCUUAAUAUCAAAGAUGUUUACAGUGAUGCCACACCCUUACUGUACCCAUGUGACCUGUCACUAUAAAAGGGGGUGUGAUGUGACAUACUGUCUUUUCUUCACUCACGUACACUCCCCUACGUAUUUAUUUUGACAGUGAAGCUAAACUUUUAAUUUGGCUCUAUACUCCAGCAUUUUGGAUUUGAGAAACUGUUUCAUAUGACUAUACAGAAUGUCACCUUUUAUUUAAAGGUAAUGAAUGGUAAAUCCUGUAUUGUGCCAAUUUGGAGUAAUUUUAUUGUAAAUAAGAAUCGAGUAUGUUUCUGAACACUUCUACA
Molecule: non-coding RNA, 4088 nt
Organism: Salmo salar (Atlantic salmon)
Lineage: Eukaryota; Metazoa; Chordata; Actinopteri; Salmoniformes; Salmonidae
Source: RefSeq, a predicted model, not a curated record